Molecule: small RNA, 94 nt
Filed under: Salmonella enterica
Lineage: Bacteria; Pseudomonadati; Pseudomonadota; Gammaproteobacteria; Enterobacterales; Enterobacteriaceae
Description: partial RtT sRNA
Rfam family: RtT RNA
About the family: This family represents a bacterial cis-regulatory element known as RtT RNA. The exact function of RtT is unknown although it is thought that it may be involved in changing the cellular response in relation to amino acid starvation.
Source: RNAcentral
UAUCUCUCCGUACGGGGAAGGAUGAGAAGCUUCGACCAAGGUUCGAUUCGAGCGUCAGCGAGAAAGCGUUGCCGCAGGCAACGACCCGAAGGGU